ACUCCUUCCCAUCCCGAACAGGACAGUGAAACGACUUUGCGCCGAUGAUAGUGCGGAUUCCCGUGUGAAAGUAGGUCAUCGUCAGGC
Molecule: ribosomal RNA, 87 nt
Filed under: Hydrogenophaga sp.
Lineage: Bacteria; Pseudomonadati; Pseudomonadota; Betaproteobacteria; Burkholderiales; Comamonadaceae
Source: RNAcentral